RNAcentral lists this ribosomal RNA (741 nucleotides) under Mycobacterium sp. RNAcentral describes it as "bacterial SSU rRNA". The record is from RNAcentral. Lineage: Bacteria; Bacillati; Actinomycetota; Actinomycetes; Mycobacteriales; Mycobacteriaceae.
GCUCAGGACGAACGCUGGCGGCGUGCUUAACACAUGCAAGUCGAACGGAAAGGCCCUUCGGGGUACUCGAGUGGCGAACGGGUGAGUAACACGUGGGUGAUCUGCCCUGCACUUCGGGAUAAGCCUGGGAAACUGGGUCUAAUACCGGAUAUGACCAUGRGAUGCAUGUCUUGUGGUGGAAAGCUUUUGCGGUGUGGGAUGGGCCCGCGGCCUAUCARCUUGUUGGUGGGGUUAAGGCCUACCAAGGCGACGACGGGUAGCCGGCCUGAGAGGGUGACCGGCCACACUGGGACUGAGAUACGGCCCAGACUCCUACGGGAGGCAGCAGUGGGGAAUAUUGCACAAUGGGCGCAAGCCUGAUGCAGCGACGCCGCGUGAGGGACGACGGCCUUCGGGUUGUAAACCUCUUUCAGCACAGACGAAGCGCAAGUGACGGUAUGUGCAGAAGAAGGACCGGCCAACUACGUGCCAGCAGCCGCGGUAAUACGUAGGGUCCGAGCGUUGUCCGGAAUUACUGGGCGUAAAGAGCUCGUAGGUGGUUUGUCGCGUUGUUCGUGAAAACUCACAGCUCAACUGUGGGCGUGCGGGCGAUACGGGCAGACUAGAGUACUGCAGGGGAGACUGGAAUUCCUGGUGUAGCGGUGGAAUGCGCAGAUAUCAGGAGGAACACCGGUGGCGAAGGCGGGUCUCUGGGCAGUAACUGACGCUGAGGAGCGAAAGCGUGGGGAGCGAACAGGAUUA